UCGUCGUCUGGAUGCCCGCAUUGGUGGCAU
This 30-nucleotide small RNA is filed under the name Bombyx mori (domestic silkworm). Its description in RNAcentral is "ovarian small RNA-29258". Lineage: Eukaryota; Metazoa; Arthropoda; Insecta; Lepidoptera; Bombycidae. The record is from RNAcentral.